This is a long non-coding RNA of Peromyscus californicus insignis, 1560 nucleotides long. RefSeq lists it as uncharacterized. The record is from RefSeq and is a predicted model, not a curated record. The transcript is spliced from 4 exons. Lineage: Eukaryota; Metazoa; Chordata; Mammalia; Rodentia; Cricetidae.
GGAGAAUCUAGGUGCGCAGGAGAUGCCAGGAGAUGCAGAACACGUUGGACUUACAGAAAUGGAGAAGAGGUGAAUUGGGAAGGGGUGUUGAAGGACUUGAAGAGAGAGACCUCAGAGUCUGCCUGGUGUUGGAGGCAGUCUUGGCGAAGAAACCUCAUCUCUUUCAUCAGCUGCCCAUAAGGCUGAUGCAAUGUGGCCAGCCAGCCUCCUGCUCCACCAUGUCCUCCCUGUCUGCUGCCAUGGCUUCCCUGCCAUGAUGGACUAUCAAUCCAUUUUCCUGCAGGCAGCACAGCUUCCUCACCGCAGAGUACUGCUCAUAUUCCUCUUUAUCCCCGACGGCAGUCCGCUUUAUUCAAGCCAUGGUAGAAAGUCCUCCAUACUUAUUCCUUCAGCUGGAGUUCAACAAGCCGGAGCCAGAGCCGGCAUUAGACAGUGGCAGUCUACACAUCGUUACAGCCAUAGGUCAUUUAUUUCCAUAACUGGGUGAGUGUGAAAACAGCCACGAUUAAACAUGUGCGUGCAGAUAUCUCUGUUGUAGUCUACCUUUGAAUCCUUUGGGUAAAUACUUUGAAGAGGUGUAGCCAGAUCAUGUGAUAUUUGGGAAUUAGCGUUUUUCUGAGCCCUGGCAUUAAGACAACAUGCUCACAACCGUCUGUGGUGAUACAUGCCUUUAAUCCCGGCCCUUGGGAGGCAGAGGCAAGGGGAUCCCUGUAAAUUCUAGGCCAGUCUGGUCUAUAUAGUGAGUUCCAGGCUAGCCAGGCAUACAUAGUAAGACCCUGUCACAAAACAAAACAAAUUCACGCAAAACAACAAUUUGUCAAGUCCACCAAAACCGAAGGAGGAGGUAGAGUGCCGCUUAAGAAAUCCAGUUGAAAACUUUCAUUCGGUUUCUGCCCUCUAGUGGACAAAAGGACAAAUGCGCUGUUUGUCUCGGAUCCUGUUCUGUCCUUUUAACUACAGGGAUGAUACAUGCGUAUUUACUACGGUUCUACAAAUAUUCUCUACAAAUUAACCGUGUCGGUUUCACUCCUGACAUCGCUGCCCUGCGUUUUCAGAACAAGUUCCACCCCUGCAUUCUUUCGGCCUCUCAACUCUUCUUCACAGUUCGUAUUUCCACUUUAAAGGACCCCCGGAGGACCCCCCUGGGUCCACCGGAUAAUCCCGAGUAUCCCUUGCCUUAAAGUCAGUUCACUAGCGAGGGUCGUCUUCUGUCUUCGAGUUUAAAGCGCCACACCCAGAGGUGCACCACACUUUCCAUCUUCACGGGUUUGAACUUCAUCUUUCAGUUUGUCUCCACAGAACCGGUACAACCUGAAACCGCCUUCAAGUAAGGAAUAAGAGGCGGGGGUGGGGGUGUGUUGGGGGAGUGGAAUGUUUCCUUUGGUGAAAAGUAAAAGUCUUCCCCACAAAGCUCUCUGGAUUUUUUCAAUGUGUUCUCGUCAGUAAAAUCAAGUCUCUUUCCUAGCCCUGGCUGCUAGUGUGGUUUAAAUAUGCAAAUGUUGGCCAGGUGGUGGUGGUACACCCUGUAAUCCCAGCACUAGGGGGGCAGAGGCGGGUGGA